Molecule: long non-coding RNA, 597 nt
Organism: Maylandia zebra (zebra mbuna)
Lineage: Eukaryota; Metazoa; Chordata; Actinopteri; Cichliformes; Cichlidae
Source: RefSeq, a predicted model, not a curated record
AUAACGACGUCUCUGAGGCGCGAAAUCUGACAGCGAGAGGAACGGCCGGAUACAGGAGACGGGAAGAAACAAGCCGAUUAUGUUCGCGUUAAUUAAGUGGUUGGAAGAUGUAAAAUUCUCAAUUCUGCCAACUGAACAUAUACGAGAUUUUAAUGAGGAUGAAUAAUUAGCCGGCAUGGAGGAAACGGACCUUUAUUUCGUGGAGUGGCGACAAGAAGCCAAGGCGGGUGGCCAGUCUAAGAAGCCUCCAUCAUCAAGCUAGCAGAAAUCCUACCUCUCCUUCUGGCUACAGAGUACUUACCAAGCCCAUGAAAUCGAAUGCAGAUCUUCCUAAUGUGAGAUUUACAUAAAUAUGUCAAAGUCUCAACCUCAUGCUGCCCUCCCCCAUCCUCCUAAACCUGUGGAUACAAAUGCAGAUUUCCUUAAUGUUCAAUGGUGCGUGUUCUUCUAAUGGCCGCCUUCCCACUGGAGGUUUUGAUCCACAGCAAUUUAAAAGGAGGACAGAGCAAAACGGACAUCGGCGCAGAGUGAAGAACUGCCCUUGAUAAGGACACUAUGACAGCCAUAUAUAGUAAGUGAAGACUUUCUGUGUAUCUA